CUUUUAUUUUAGGGGGCUGCCGUAUAUUGACUGUACAAAGGUAGCAUAAUCAAUAGUCUUUUAAUUGAAAACUUGUAUGAAUGAUUUAAUGAAAUAUAAACUGUCUCUUUAUUAAAAUUAGAAUUUAAUUUUUUAGUCAAAAAGCUAAAAUAAAUUUAAAAGACGAGAAGACCCUAUAGAGUUUUAUAUUUUUUAGUAUUUUAAUUUUAUAUAAAAUUUUAAAUUAAAAUAUUAAUAAAUAUUUUAUUGGGGUGAUAUAAAAAUUAAAAUAACUUUUUAAAAAAUUAAACAUUAAUUUAUGAGUAUUUGAUCCAUAAUUUAUGAUUAAAAAAAAAAAUUACCUUAGGGAUAACAGCGUUUUUUUUUCUUUUAGUUCAAAUAAAAGUUAAAGUUUGCGACCUCGAUGUUGGAUUAAAAUAAAAUUUAAAAGCAAAAUUUUAAAAUUUUGAUCUGUUCGAUCAUUAAAAUCUUACAUGAUCUGAGUUCAAACCGGGCGGC
Molecule: ribosomal RNA, 498 nt
Filed under: Pareronia hippia
Lineage: Eukaryota; Metazoa; Arthropoda; Insecta; Lepidoptera; Pieridae
Description: partial 16S ribosomal RNA
Rfam family: Archaeal large subunit ribosomal RNA (bases 348-498)
Source: RNAcentral